Molecule: ribosomal RNA, 600 nt
Filed under: uncultured bacterium
Lineage: Bacteria
Description: bacterial SSU rRNA
Rfam family: Bacterial small subunit ribosomal RNA
Source: RNAcentral
UACUGGGCUUUUACUGACGCUGAGGCUCGAAAGCAUGGGUAGCAAACAGGAUUAGAUACCCUGGUAGUCCAUGCCGUAAACGAUGAUUACUAGGUGUGGGGGAGCUGACCUCUUCCGUGCCGCAGUUAACACAAUAAGUAAUCCACCUGGGGAGUACGGCCGCAAGGUUGAAACUCAAAGGAAUUGACGGGGGCCCGCACAAGCAGUGGAGUAUGUGGUUCAAUUCGAAGCAACGCGAAGAACCUUACCAGGUCUUGACAUCGAGUGACGAGUCUAGAGAUAGGCUUUUCCUUCGGGACACGAAGACAGGUGGUGCAUGGUUGUCGUCAGCUCGUGUCGUGAGAUGUUGGGUUAAGUCCCGCAACGAGCGCAACCCUUAUCAUUAGUUGCUACGGAAGAGCACUCUAAUGAGACUGCCGUUGACAAAACGGAGGAAGGUGGGGAUGACGUCAAAUCAUCAUGCCCCUUAUGACCUGGGCUACACACGUACUACAAUGGCCGUCAACAGAGGGAAGCAAAGCCGCGAGGCGGAGCAAACCCCUAAAAACGGUCCCAGUUCAGAUUGCAGGCUGCAACUCGCCUGCAUGAAGUUGGAAUUGC